AGAAAAGAGAAUAUGGAACUGAAGAGGGAAAAAGCAAUUGCCUGUUUUCAUCCCGUUUUUCUUUAAUCGCAUUUUCUUUCUCAUUCAUUC
This 90-nucleotide non-coding RNA is filed under the name Chromera velia. The record is from RNAcentral. Lineage: Eukaryota; Chromeraceae.